UACAGAGGUGGCAAGCGUUGUCCGGAUUUACUGGGCGUAAAGAGCGCGCAGGCGGUCGUUCAAGUCGCGUGUGAAAGCCCCCGGCUCAACUGGGGAGGGUCACGCGAUACUGAUCGACUCGAAGGCAGGAGAGGGUAGUGGAAUUCCCGGUGUAGUGGUGAAAUGCGUAGAUAUCGGGAGGAACACCAGUGGCGAAGGCGACUACCUGGCCUGUUCUUGACGCUGAGGCGCGAAAGCUAGGGGAGCAAACGGG
RNAcentral lists this ribosomal RNA (253 nucleotides) under uncultured bacterium. RNAcentral's name for it is "partial 16S ribosomal RNA". It matches the Rfam family "Bacterial small subunit ribosomal RNA", at positions 524 to 776 of the family's 1533-position model. The record is from RNAcentral.